GACGAACGCUGGCGGCGUGCUUAACACAUGCAAGUCGAACGGAGGAUUUAUUUCGGUAAAUCCUUAGUGGCGAACGGGUGAGUAACGCGUGGGCAAUCUGCCCUUCAGAUGGGGACAACAUCCCGAAAGGGGUGCUAAUACCGAAUACGAUCACGCUGCCGCAUGGCGGUGUGAUGAAAGAUGGCCUCUAUUUAUAAGCUAUCGCUGAAGGAUGAGCCUGCGUCUGAUUAGCUAGUUGGUGGGGUAACGGCCUACCAAGGCGAUGAUCAGUAGCCGGUCUGAUAGGAAGAACGGCCAGAUUGGGACUGAGACACGGCCCAAACUCCUACGGGAGGCAGCAGUUGGGAAUAGUCCGCAAUGGACGAAAGUCUGACGGAGCAACGCCGCGUGAGUGAUGAAGGUUUUCGGACUGUAAAGCUCUGUUGUUUAGGACGAAAGUGCCUGUUGCGAACAGUUACAGGUAUUGACGGUACUGAACGAGGAAGCCACGGCUAACUACGUGCCAGCCGCCGCAGUAA
This 518-nucleotide ribosomal RNA is filed under the name uncultured bacterium. RNAcentral describes it as "partial 16S ribosomal RNA". It matches the Rfam family "Bacterial small subunit ribosomal RNA", at positions 28 to 523 of the family's 1533-position model. The record is from RNAcentral.